AGACAGGCAUUACUGUCAAUAAAUUACUUAUAUGUACAUAAGUGCUGUGGGGCUGAGGGUGAAGUGAAUAUUGAAUGCUUAGAGGUGCAUAGGUGACAAGGGAAAAGAGGGUUUCAUAGGGGAAGGUCUUCUUGGAGAUGUGAUUUUAAUAAGGUUGUGAAGGAGGGGAGAGUGGUGGUGGUCUCUCAGCUGUGGAGGGAGAAGGAGUUCUGCGUCAGAGGAAAUCUCCCUCAAGCUCAGAGGACAGGGAUGAGGUAGAUGAGACUGGGUUGAAAUUGGUACUAAAACAUUGCCAGCGGGCCUGAUGUUUUUAAUGUACGACUAGCAGGGUAGGAGACUUGACUUGCCUCUCUCCCCAGUCUGUGUUGAAGAACUCUCCGGUUUUUCAAGCGGGCCUUCAGCACUGGCCAUUUGAAAGAAGUAAGUGGAGGAAAGGGUCUGGGAGAGGACAUUACAGGUUUCCAUCUUAGGCCGAUCCACUCAUCCGGGUCCCGGUCCAUGCCCGCUGCUGGUCGUUCUGAGAGACUUGGCAUGAGGUAAGCCUUUCUGGAUGUCCCUCUCCCCGCUGGGCCUUCUCUCUCUCUACAGGGCCUCUGACGGGCCGAGGAGGCCUGUCUUCUGACCCCACGUGCUCAGGGGGGAAAGGGCAGAAAAGGGUCUUAAACAAGAAUCUCUCUGGAGUAAAAGUAAGGGCCGGCAGCAUUUCUGAUGGCUGCUGCUUGGUCGUUGUUGCCGUUCCACAUCACACUGGGUCAAAGGGGCAGAUGCGGAAUCCUGGCUGGGAUUGUGUGUUCAUGUGUGUGUCCCGAAAAGCACCAAAGGCUCUAACCCCAGAGUGACCCUCCGUUUCCGGGGCCGAGGGUCACGGACAACGCUCUGGCGACGUCGACUGAGCUCAGCCCCUCUGAUGGACGACCCGGGAUGGCUCUCCCGACAUUCUGGAUCAUCGGUUGAAAAAGCCUCCGUCCUCCCAGAUUCUCCCACAGAGCCCUCCUGGUUUCCUGCUACCUGAGCCACUGCUGCAGUGCCCGGAGCCCCGAAGGAGGUAGGCAUAUGGUUGUUUCAUUUUUCCAGGAGGGUUUUGAGGAUGGAGAGAGCUGUGGGGUGUGUUGGGGGGGAAUGUCAGGGGAGAAGAAGUGACAGUCUGGUUGGAGAGAUGUGUUUGCCUUAUUCAAAUUUUGUGUCUAUGAUAUUAUGUUCCUGUUUUCUUUCCUUACCUGUAGCCAUUGUUGGUUUUCAGUGUGUGUGUUUGACAAAAGGCCCAAAUUUUGCAUCUUUACUCUGGGGCCUGGUCACAGUGUUAGACUUUAAGGGUGUCAUGCCACUCAGUUGAUGUGUGGGGAGGGAUGAAAACUGGCCCUGGAAACAGCUCUCUCCCUCCACUCCACCCCUUUCCUCCUCAUGACCUCAAGUAUUCAAGCAGUAGAUCCCUGGGAGGAAUCUGAAUUACAGUACCAAGCUUCUUUAGGAAGCCUGUUCUGAAAAACUUUGGAAGAUGAGUAAUCCCCUGAGGCUGGGGCUGCUCGUUAGGGACUGGCAGCAGAGCCCAGAAUCCUGAGUUGGCAUCCCCCACCCUCCUCACCAGGCCUGUUACCAAUUAGCAGUUGGUUCAGAUGCUGCCCUGGCUUUGUUUUCCUUUUUCUGAAUGAGAAGAUCCCAUCGCCUGGCCUUUUUUACUUCUGAGUCAGGUGAAGCCGGGAGGGGGAAAGCUCAGAAACCUUCAGCACUUUCCCCCUUUAGAUGAUGAACUCUCCAGCUCAGAGAUGUCAUGGGUCAGACCAGAAAAUACCCAGCUUCCACCAGGACCGGGGAUCUGACACUCCUCUCGCGGGAUGACCGGGGCUCCUGUCAAGAUGUUGCUUUUGCACUUGUUUUUGAAAAAACAAAAUAAGGUCAUCGGAGCCGGCACCUCCAGCACGACAGCUGCCACCCAAAGAAGAGUGAGAAAAGACCUUUGGCCGGGGACUCAGGUGUAGCGGCUGAACAUGCCCAUUUGUAGCCCGGAACAGGCAGGAGGACUACCUGCCCCCGGCUCGGGCAAGGCAACACAACUGGAAACAGUCCAGCGGGGAUGUGGAAAUGACCGCCCGCCGGGACAAAGUGACGCACCUACCGACUGCAUCCUCCGAAUCUUUAAACCCAGAGGAUCGAGCCUGGACGGAGGGACCGGAACCUCGCUUGAGAGGACCAGGCUGGCCUGUACCGCUGAAUCGGCCUCCUCGCUGACCUCCUGGUUUCCAGCCUCUCCCUUCUCCAGGACUGGCCCAGGAGGGAAUCAUCGGAUGAGGUGUCUACCUGUUUGCACCGCCGCUUCCUAUCCGGCUCCCGGAGACGCCUCCUUACCAGGCUGUGUCGCUGAGCACCGCCAUGACUUCGUCCGCGACGGCUGCGUCCACGACGUCGCUGUAGGACUGGCCUUCCUCUCCUGGAUUCCCAACUCUACCUGCGUGAGCCAGCCAAGUGGACUUCCUCUGGACACUGGAAAGAAAGAAGCUGAGACAACACUCGGAAACCUCUGCUGACACCUGAAACUCUUUCCCCUGGUUUCUGCACCCCCACUACAGGUCCAUCUGUAAUUCCUUUUACUGUCUCCUGCUCUACUCUGGAAGCUUCUGCUGGGCAGGAAUCCAGUCUGCCAACUCUAUUACAGUGACUCUCCCAAGCGCUUAGUACAGUGCUCUGCACCCAGUAAGCCCUCAAUAAAUCCCACCAGUGGACUGAUUGCAAUAUGAAGGUAGGACAUGCUUUUUUUGUGUUCCAAUAAGAACAACCCUCUCCAUCACCAAUGGUAUUUAUUGAGUGCUUAUUGUGAGCAAAGCACUGUACUAAGCACUUGCGAGAGAGUACAAUACAACAGAAUGUUGAUAGAGACAUUUCCAGCUUACAGUCUCUCCUCACUGUGAGCCCCAGGUGGGACAGGGAUUGUGUCCAACCUAAGUUCUUAACAAAUGCUGUAAUAAUAAUAUUGAAAAUCCCAGUGUCUAAUAAAAAAUCCACUAUCUUGAGUCCACUUCAAAUCCCCAUGAGGCGGUGUGGCCAAAUGGGAAGAACCCAGACCUGGGAAUCAUGAGGCCUGGGUUCUAGUUUCAGCUUUGCCCCAUCUCUGUGACCUCAUGCAAGUCACUUACCUGCUCGGUGCCUCAGUUGUCCCAUCUGUCAAAUGGCUCUAAUAAGGUCAGCCUCUCUGACCUUCCUGUGGAUGCUGUGUAAUUGACCUGUGGAGACUCUGGGGCAUUUAUGCCCUCUACAGAUUCUUCUGGCACAAAAGAAAUAAAGUUUCAGACUCACACGGCAA
Ornithorhynchus anatinus (platypus) is the source of this 3295-nucleotide long non-coding RNA. RefSeq lists it as uncharacterized. NCBI's taxonomy places the organism in Eukaryota, Metazoa, Chordata, Mammalia, Monotremata, Ornithorhynchidae. The record is from RefSeq and is a predicted model, not a curated record. The transcript is spliced from 6 exons.